AAGUCCUGUAGGUGAAAAUUAAAGUUAAACUAGAUAGUAUCCUGAGUAUCAUGGGACACGAGAAACCCCGUGAGAAGCAAGGAGGACCAUCUCCUAAGACUAAAUACUCUCUAGCAACCGAUAGUGAACCAGUACCGUGAGGGAAAGGUGAAAAGAACCCCGGGAGGGGAGUGAAAUAGAAUCUGAAACCAUGUGCCUACAAGCAGUCAGAGGACGUAUAUAUAUCAGUCUGAUGGCGUGCUUUUUGCAUAACGAACCGGCGAGUUAUGAUAUGUAGCGUUUAGGUUAAGCCAGGAAGGUGGAGCCAUAGCGAAAGCGAGUCUGAAUAGGGCGUAAGUUACAUGUCAUAGACCCGAAACCAAGUGAUCUAUCCAUGGUCAGGGUGAAGCACGUGUAAGAGCGUGUGGAGGCCCGAACUGCAUUGACGUUGAAAAGUCAUGGGAUGAACUGUGGAUAGGGGUGAAAGGCCAAUCGAACUUGGAGAUAGCUGGUUCUCCCCGAAAUAGCUUUAGGGCUAGCCUCAAGUAAUGCACUUUGGUCGUAGAGCACUGAUUGGACUAGGGGCUUUAUUAAGUUACCGAAUCCAGUCAAACUCCGAAGGCUGAAGAUGUUUAUCUUGGGAGUCAGACUAUGUGGGAUAAGCUUCAUAGUCGAGAGGGAAACAACCCAGAUCGUCAGUUAAGGUCCCUAAGUAUGAGCUAAGUGGCAAAGGAUGUGAGAUUGCAUAGACAACCAGGAUGUUGGCUUAGAAGCAGCCAUUCAUUUAAAGAGUGCGUAAUAGCUCACUGGUCGAGUGGUCUUGCGCUGAAAAUGUCCGGGGCUUAAGCUCAUCACCGAAACUACGGAUUGUUUUUUAACAGUGGUAGGGGAGCUUUCUAUAAGGAUUGAAGCAGUACCGUAAGGAGCUGUGGACUUUAUAGAAGUGAUAAUGCCGGUAUGAGUAACGAUAAGAUAGGUGAGAAUCCUAUCCGCCAAAAGUCUAAGGUUUCCUGAGGAAGGCUCGUCCGCUCAGGGUCAGCCGGGACCUAAGCCGAGGCCAAAAGGCGUAGGCGAUGGACAAUCGGUUAAAAUUCCGAUGCUACCUCCUUACCGUUUGAGCAAUGGGGGGACGCAGUAAGAUAGGCCAGCCUGUUAACGGUUAUACAGGUCGAAGCAUGUAGGAGGAUCCUUUAGGCAAAUCCGGAGGAUCAUUAACUCUAAAGUGUGAUCUCGAACUUCUACGGAAGUGAAGUGGUUGAUUCUACACUGCCAAGAAAAGCCUCUAGCAAGGUAAGUGGUACCCGUACCGUAAAUUGACACAGAUAGACAGGAAGAGAAUUCUAAGGCGCGCGAGAGAACCUUCGUUAAGGAACUCGGCAAAAUUGCCCCGUAACUUCGGGAGAAGGGGUGCCUCAUUAGGGUGUAUGCUCGAAGAGGCUGCAGUGACUAGGCCCAAGCGACUGUUUACCAAAAACACAGGUCUCUGCUAAGACGCAAGUCGAUGUAUAGGGGCUGACGCCUGCCCGGUGCUGGAAGGUCAAGGGGAGAUGUUAGGACUAGAUCUGAAGCAUUGAACUUAAGCCCCAGUAAACGGCGGCCGUAACUAUAACGGUCCUAAGGUAGCGAAAUUCCUUGUCGGGUAAGUUCCGACCUGCACGAAUGGCGCAACGACUUGGGCACUGUCUCAACGAAGGACUCGGUGAAAUUGUAUUACCUGUGAAGAUGCAGGUUACCCGCGACAGGACGGAAAGACCCCGUGGAGCUUUACUGUAGUCUGAGAUUGAAUUUUGGUACCAUAUGUACAGGAUAAGUGGGAGGCUAUGAAAUCGGUACGCUAGUAUCGGUGGAGCCGCUGGUGGGAUACCACUCUUAUUGUGCUGGAAUUCUAACCAUGUGCUGUGAUCCAGUGCUGGGACAGUUUCAGAUGGGCAGUUUGACUGGGGCGGUCGACUCCUAAAUUGUAACGGAGUCGCCCAAAGGUUCCCUCAGUGCGGACGGAAAUCGCACGAAGAGUGUAAAGGCAGAAGGGAGCUUGACUGCAAGACAUACAGGUCGAGCAGGUACGAAAGUAGGGCUUAGUGAUCCGACGGUAGAGAAUGGAAUUGCCGUCGCUCAACGGAUAAAAGUUACCCCGGGGAUAACAGGCUUAUCUCCCCCAAGAGUUCACAUCGACGGGGAGGUUUGGCACCUCGAUGUCGGCUCGUCACAUCCUGGAGCUGAAGCAGGUUCCAAGGGUUGGGCUGUUCGCCCAUUAAAGUGGUACGCGAGCUGGGUUCAGAACGUCGUGAGACAGUUCGGUCCCUAUCCGUCGUGGGCGUAGGAUAUUUGAAGGGAUCUGUCCCUAGUACGAGAGGACCGGGAUGGACAUACCUCUGGUGUACCAGUUGUUUACCAAAAGCAUAGCUGGGUAGCUAAGUAUGGAUCAGAUAAACGCUGAAAGCAUCUAAGCGUGAAACUGACCUUAAGAUGAGAUAUCCCAUAGAGUUAAUCUAGU
This 2473-nucleotide ribosomal RNA is filed under the name anaerobic digester metagenome. RNAcentral describes it as "bacterial LSU rRNA". It matches the Rfam family "Bacterial large subunit ribosomal RNA", at positions 368 to 2829 of the family's 2925-position model. The record is from RNAcentral.